CCUACGGUGGGCAGCAGUGGGGAAUCUUUCACAAUGGGGGAAACCCUGAUGCAGCGACGCCGCGUGAGUGAAUAAAUAUUUCGGUACUUAAAGCUCUAUCAGCAGGGAAGAAAAUGACGGUACCUGUCUAAGAAGCCCCGGCUAACUACGUGCCAGCAGCCGCGGUAACACGUAGGGGGCAAGCGUUAUCCGGAUUUACUGGGUGUAAAGGGAGCGUAGACGGCAGCGCAAGUCUGGAGUGAAAUCCCAUGGCUUAACCAUGGAACUGCUUUGGAAACUGUGCAGCUAGAGUGCAGGAGAGGUAAGCGGAAUUCCUAGUGUAGCGGUGAAAUGCGUAGAUAUUAGGAGGAACACCAGUGGCGAAGGCGGCUUACUGGACUGUAACUGACGUUGAGGCUCGAAAGCGUGGGGAGCAAACAGGAUUAGAUACCCGUGUAGUC
This 440-nucleotide ribosomal RNA is filed under the name uncultured bacterium. Its description in RNAcentral is "partial 16S ribosomal RNA". It matches the Rfam family "Bacterial small subunit ribosomal RNA", at positions 338 to 795 of the family's 1533-position model. The record is from RNAcentral.